GACGAACGCUGGCGGCGUGCUUAACACAUGCAAGUCGAACGGAAAGGCCCUGCUUUUGUGGGGUGCUCGAGUGGCGAACGGGUGAGUAACACGUGAGUAACCUGCCCUUGACUUUGGGAUAACUUCAGGAAACUGGGUCUAAUACCGGAUAGGAGCUCCUGCUGCAUGGUGGGGGUUGGAAAGUUUCGGCGGUUGGGGAUGGACUCGCGGCUUAUCAGCUUGUUGGUGGGGUAGUGGCUUACCAAGGCUUUGACGGGUAGCCGGCCUGAGAGGGUGACCGGCCACAUUGGGACUGGGAUACGGCCCAGACUCCUACGGGAGGCAGCAGUGGGGAAUAUUGCACAAUGGGCGGAAGCCUGAUGCAGCAACGCCGCGUGCGGGAUGACGGCCUUCGGGUUGUAAACCGCUUUCGCCUGUGACGAAGCGUGAGUGACGGUAAUGGGUAAAGAAGCACCGGCUAACUACGUG
Molecule: ribosomal RNA, 468 nt
Filed under: uncultured bacterium
Lineage: Bacteria
Description: partial 16S ribosomal RNA
Rfam family: Bacterial small subunit ribosomal RNA
Source: RNAcentral